RNAcentral lists this non-coding RNA (236 nucleotides) under Anaerovibrio sp. RNAcentral describes it as "T-box sequence". It matches the Rfam family "T-box leader". Rfam says of the family: Uncharged tRNA acts as the effector for transcription antitermination of genes in the T-box leader family. The record is from RNAcentral. Lineage: Bacteria; Bacillati; Bacillota; Negativicutes; Selenomonadales; Selenomonadaceae.
GAAAAAGCAUUGAGCGGGAGAAGUAAUCAGCAGACCCUUCCAGAGAGCUGUGGGUUGGUGCAACACAGCAGGAGAACCUGACGAAAUACACCCGUGAGCUGCAGGCUGAACCCAUCAUUAGGUGUGUAGGCUUUGCCGGAGGCCCCCGUUACCAAGGGCUAGGGUAUGUUAGUACCUGACGAGAGUGGCUUGCCAAGGCAAGCAGGGUGGUACCGCGAGUUAGACUCGUCCCUGUU